GGAGACCUGCUGCCAGCUCCUGGUUGACUGAAGAGUUUUGAAGGCUUCUGGUGAACCAGGAGAACCACGACAAGACCAGCCCGACCUGCCACGGCUGGAAAUACCUGCUGGGCGACCUCGGGUAAGAAACCAAAACAGCUCAGAUGUCAGUGCUGGAACCAGUACACUUCUGCCGAAAUAAUGUCUCCCCCCACCCCCCAACCGGAGCAAUGGAUAGCAUCAAAGAGACUCUUAACAAAGGGCUUUAUACCCAUUUAAAAGACUCAGACAAAGAGAGGAGCAAGAAAUAACGGAACCGGUGCUUUGUUUUCUGCUUCUUGUUGGGGAGGUUGAGGUUUUAAAUGCGUGCUCGGUAGGUGUUAAAAGCACUUCUUGUUUGGCUCGUAACAAACUACAACACGUUCCUGCUGCAAACAACCCAAAGCCCUCCCGGUCUGCUUCCUUCCCCCAGCCCUAACCCUAACCUGUGCUCCAUGGGUAAGCAGAAGGCCAAAGAGACGCGAAGGGUGGGAUACUCAGAAAGGCAUCAUGGUUGCUUGCUGCUAAUGCUGCUGCAGCCGCCUUGGGCUGUAAUAUCUGAUGCUACAGAUGCCAGGAGUCAAGUCAGCACCUGGUGCGGCGUCAAGAGAGACUUGGAAGAAUUGGAGGGCCUGGGUUUAGCACAGAGCCCUCCCGUCCCGGAUCAAAAUUCAAAUGCAGGCGGUUCAGACAAGGCCAGAUUCCCCUGGUGCGGACGCUCGCACUCCCAAAUACACGCCGCUUU
Molecule: long non-coding RNA, 763 nt
Organism: Alligator sinensis (Chinese alligator)
Lineage: Eukaryota; Metazoa; Chordata; Crocodylia; Alligatoridae
Exons: 3
Source: RefSeq, a predicted model, not a curated record